AACGAACGCUGGCGGCAUGCCUAACACAUGCAAGUCGAACGAGACCUUCGGGUCUAGUGGCGCACGGGUGCGUAACGCGUGGGAACCUGCCCUUAGGUUCGGAAUACCUCCCCGAAAGGGGUGCUAAUACCGGAUAAUGUCUUCGGACCAAAGAUUUAUCGCCUUUGGAUGGGCCCGCGUUGGAUUAGCUAGUUGGUAGGGUAAAAGCCUACCAAGGCGACGAUCCAUAGCUGGUCUGAGAGGAUGAUCAGCCACACUGGGACUGAGACACGGCCCAGACUCCUACGGGAGGCAGCAGUGGGGAAUAUUGGAAAAUGGGCGAAAGCCUGAUCCAGCAAUGCCGCGUGAGUGAUGAAGGCCUUAGGGUUGUAAAGCUCUUUUACCCGGGAUGAUAAUGACAGUACCGGGAGAAUAAGCUCCGGCUAACUCCGUG
Molecule: ribosomal RNA, 433 nt
Filed under: uncultured bacterium
Lineage: Bacteria
Description: partial 16S ribosomal RNA
Rfam family: Bacterial small subunit ribosomal RNA
Source: RNAcentral